This 74-nucleotide transfer RNA is filed under the name Camelus bactrianus (Bactrian camel). It matches the Rfam family "tRNA". Rfam says of the family: Transfer RNA (tRNA) molecules are approximately 80 nucleotides in length. Their secondary structure includes four short double-helical elements and three loops (D, anti-codon, and T loops). Lineage: Eukaryota; Metazoa; Chordata; Mammalia; Artiodactyla; Camelidae. RNAcentral also lists the same sequence under 1 other name. The record is from Rfam by way of RNAcentral.
GAGGCUAUAGUUCAAAGUGGUAGAGCACAUGCUUUGCAUGCAUGAGAUCCUAGGUUCAAUCCCCAGUACCUCCU